This 431-nucleotide ribosomal RNA is filed under the name uncultured bacterium. Its description in RNAcentral is "partial 16S ribosomal RNA". It matches the Rfam family "Bacterial small subunit ribosomal RNA", at positions 29 to 507 of the family's 1533-position model. The record is from RNAcentral.
AACGAACGCUGGCGGCAGGCCUAACACAUGCAAGUCGAGCGCCCUUUCGGGGGAGCGGCGGACGGGUGAGUAACGCGUGGGAAUAUGCCCUUCUCUACGGAAUAGCCUCGGGAGACUGAGAGUAAUACCGUAUACGCCCUGUGGGGGAAAGAUUUAUCGGGGAAGGAUUAGCCCGCGUUGGAUUAGGUAGUUGGUGGGGUAAUGGCCUACCAAGCCGACGAUCCAUAGCUGGUUUGAGAGGAUGAUCAGCCACACUGGGACUGAGACACGGCCCAGACUCCUACGGGAGGCAGCAGUGGGGAAUCUUAGACAAUGGGGGCAACCCUGAUCUAGCCAUGCCGCGUGAGUGAUGAAGGCCUUAGGGUUGUAAAGCUCUUUCAGCUGGGAAGAUAAUGACGGUACCAGCAGAAGAAGCCCCGGCUAACUCCGUG